GCAUGCCAAAUGGGGAAGGGUGGGCUUGGGAGAGUCCCUCCCUAGAGGAGGGAGAAGGAGCCUGCAGAACAGGUUCAAGGGAAUUCAAGGGCUGCCUGGGAGCCUGCACCCCUGUUCCAGCCGAACAUCUUUGUCUCUCGUCUCUCUUGUUCAAUUUUACUGCAUCCCAGUUUUUCUAAAGUCAGGCUCUCAGCAGCCGGGGAUGCUGGCUUCAAGGUCCACAGGAAUGGUGCCUGGGGAAUUUGCAUAGCUACCUUGGCUACAGGCAAGCAAAAGGUUGCCAUGGAAACCCUUCAUCCCUUCUCAGACCUGCAGCCUGUUCUCCCUCCCCUGAUGCUCCAUCCCUCACCUCCCCACCACAAAGGGGCACGGGAAACCAGAGCGCCCCAACAAAGGCAGAUGUACUUAAGGGUUAUCUUUUGAUGCGAGCUGGCUUCCUUGCCUCUGGUCCCCUUCAAACCCAUCCUUGCGUGCUGCCCAAAUAAUUAUUACUUGUCCAGUUCAGAUCAUGUCAUUUCCCUGCUCAAAACCCUCCGUGGCUCCCCAUUGCUGAAGGAGCAAACACAAACCCCUCGUUCUGCUAUUUAAGUCUCCCUCUCUGUCUCUCUUCUCCAACUCAGCUGCACUGAAAUCCCAUCAGUCUGUGGUUUCCCAGAGGGAUCCCUACAGCCUUGUUCAUUGUUGCUUCCCUGGUGCCUCGUAUAGCUCCUGGUGCGUAGUAGGCACUUGGGAAGGGGGAAAAAUAUAAAAGAAGGGAGGAAUAAAAAGUGCCAACUUUUCCUACCCUCAACAUAGCCUUUGCUUCAGUUUCCUGUGAGACAAAUUGGAGUUUGACAUCCCUCCUCAAGAUGCCUCCUCCAAGACCAGGUAGGUGCACACCUCAACUCCUGCCAAAUUCUUCCUAUCCUUAGAGCGCUCAAUGCAGAUGCCACUUCCUCCAGUAAGACUUCCUAGAUACACUAUUUAAAACAAAUAUCUCUCUGUUCUAGAGUUCCCUGUGGCUGAGCUGUGUGUGCAGAGAGCACCUUUCUCUCUCCUUGGGAAGCCCUUUGAAUGUAGAAACUCUGCAUUCCUCAUUCCUGUGCCCUCCCUCUCCCCAGUGGCUAGGACUUAACACCAAAGGGUGCUCAGGAAACAAAUGGAAGCAGGGCACUAACCAACUCCAGGAGGACUGGGAGCAUGUUUCCCGCUGAAUCCCUGCCAUCUUGACCACUGCCUGGCAAGAGAAGACACUCUACCAACAUUUUUUUAGGUAAAUAAAAGAAUUCAUUUUUCAAGUCUUCAUCAAGAACCACUAUGUGUACAGUGCUAUGUUAAGUUCUGGUAAGUUUCAUGUUAAUCCGAGGCCCCAGCAUCUCCUCUUCCAAGGAGCAACCAACUCCAGAAUAAUAAUAAUUGUUCUUUUUUACAUUGCUUUUAUUUUUCUUUUUUCUCUCUCCAUUUCCACGGGUAUCAAUAGUCGUGGUUCUUAAACCACUUUUCCAGUUUCUCAAGCACUUUCAGCCCUAUGAUCACACAAGACCCUCACCAACAAGCCAGCAAGCCACGAGCUUGAGCUGGACUUACUAUCAUUAUCCCGAUUUUCCAAAUAAGGAAGCCAAGACUCAGAGAGGUAGAGAGGUUUGUCCAAGAUCACCCAGCCAGGGAGGGGCUUGAGCCCAGGGCAGUGUGCCUCAUACAGAAUGAGCCUGGCCCCAUGGACUGGAGGAUAUCAGUGAAGGAGCAUCUCAGGAAGCAGCCCCGAGGUUGUGUUAGGAAGCAUUUAUUGAGUGCCUACUGUGUGAAGUCAGCCUCUGUGCUGGGCAUGGCAUGCAACCCCGUGCACUGAGACAGAAAUGGGGAAUUGGGGCUCCAUGAUUUCAGCAACCUGCCUGGGCAGCAAGUCUGAAUGCCAGCUUCACUGACAGCUGUUUGAUUUGGUCAAGUGACACCUUGUCUUUGAGCUCUGGAGACACCUGUAGCGGCAUCUGCAUCCACCUCCCCUAACACCUGCCCACCCACUGAAUAAGUCAGUUUUCCAUGAGCCUCUGAGGUAUGGUGGCUCUCCUCAAUGUGCACCAAGUCCCUUAACCAUAGUUAAUCACAGAAUCUCACUUUAAAUAAACCUUAAGGGAGCCUAGCUUGUCCUCCCGGUGUCCUUGGUGCCCAGACUCAUGUGCCAUUAAGCCUGUGACAUUAAUGGAGAGUUACUCCAGCCUGUGGCAUGAGGCAAAGAGGCUCCUCCUAAGAUAAGAUGGGAAUCUGAGAGCCCAAAAGCUAUAUUUAAGGGAAUUUUAGAAGUGUUUGUUUUUAAAAUGUAAUGAAAUGGUUAUUAUCAACUUUUUUCCUUUCUCCUCCUGCCUUCUUCCCAAACAGGUGCAGUGAGAUUAGUGGUAAUUUAAAAAGCAGGAUUGCCUCUGUGUCAAUUUCCCGCUAAUGAGCAAAACUCGCCGUGUAAUUGCUAUGUAUUGAACGAAGCAACAAUACAUUUUCAGUGGCUGUUUAAUAUGCUGGGGCUUGGUUUAACAGAUGUUCUGAGACUCGCUUUCCAAGACGGAGGAGCCAAGCCCAGAAGAAGAAGGUGACAUUUCCCUUUCUUUUGCCUCUGUCCAGUGCUGCAUCCCUUGGAGGGCAUGAGGCAAGGCCACGUGAGACACAGUCGGUGCUAGAUUCCUGGAGGCAGAGCUGAGGGUAGGUCUUGAAACCAGCGAGGGUAGCAAGCAGAGGAAGAUGACGAUCCAUUCCUCUUCUGAUCUUCACUAUAAGGGGCACCAAGCCCUGGGUCAUGACAAGGUCUUAUAUUUAGCAUGGACUUGCAACCAAAGGUAAGCUCCACGAGGGCAAGGAUUUAUGGCCUUUUUCUUCCAUGGAUGACUCUGAAACGCCUAGAACAGUACCUGGCACACAGUAGGUGCUCCACUAAUGCUGAAUGAAUGAUGCAUGUGGAAGGCUGAGUCUGGUUCCCACAACACAGUAGUAGCUCAAUAAUGAUAGCAUAUAACAUUAUUAUUUAAUUAUUAUUAAAUUGCCUCAAGCAAUUUUGUGUCCACUGUCUGUCAGGACUGGAUGGGACCAGAUGCCAUUAACUACAUACUCAGUCCUCCCAACAACCAAGUAUAAGGCAGGUACUAUUAUCGUGCCCAUUUGACAGAGGCUCAGGAAUGACUGCCCACAUUCACACAGUUGACAAGGAAUAGGGGGCUGAUUCAGCAUCACACCUAGGCCUGAGUCCCAAGUCCUCUUUUCAGGACUUGGGUGCCUGAAUGUGGGACGUACCUGAUGAAUGGGACUCUCCUUCCAUCAAAGAGGAGGGGCUGUUUGGUUUGAGCCUUUGAAAAAAAGUCAAACACAAGAGGAGAGAGGGUAUAUGAGACAGAGGGAACAGCAUGAGCAAAGGUGUGGGGGUCUACCAGAUGUAUUUCUUGUGCAUCCUCUAUGUGCCCAGCCCAAGGCAAGAUGCAAUGGUGUGUGUGUGUGUGUGUGUGUGUGUGUGAGUGUGUGUGUGUGUGUGUGUGUGUCUGUAUGUGUGUAUGUGU
This 3515-nucleotide long non-coding RNA is filed under the name Homo sapiens (human). RNAcentral's name for it is "HSALNT0405283". Lineage: Eukaryota; Metazoa; Chordata; Mammalia; Primates; Hominidae. The record is from RNAcentral.